Molecule: transfer RNA, 71 nt
Filed under: Aeromicrobium sp.
Lineage: Bacteria; Bacillati; Actinomycetota; Actinomycetes; Propionibacteriales; Nocardioidaceae
Also listed under: 2 other names
Rfam family: tRNA
About the family: Transfer RNA (tRNA) molecules are approximately 80 nucleotides in length.
Source: Rfam by way of RNAcentral
GCCGAUGUAGCUCAGUGGUAGAGCGCUUGCUUCCCAAGCAAGAUAUGCGAGUUCGAUUCUCGUCAUCGGCU